Molecule: long non-coding RNA, 1747 nt
Organism: Oncorhynchus keta (chum salmon)
Lineage: Eukaryota; Metazoa; Chordata; Actinopteri; Salmoniformes; Salmonidae
Exons: 3
Source: RefSeq, a predicted model, not a curated record
GAGACAGUGGUUAUCUAGACACAUACAGUAUGAGACAUUUCAGCUAUAGGAACUAGUAACCACACCCUCAGGACCAGCCCCUCUGAGCACGCUCAGUGACCUCUGACAAAAUUGAUCACGAUUCCCCUUCGCUUUUGCGUCCUUUUUCAUUUGCACAAGAGAGAGAUAAUUCCAUUAAGGUUUUUUUAACAAUAAAGUGGACAGUCAAGGACUUGUAAUAGUCUGUAUUUAGUCUGUAUUUAUCCUUCUGGUCCUGGUCCUUCUGUAGCUCAGUUGGUAGAGCAUGGCGCUUGUAACGCCAGGGUAGUGGGUUCGAUCCCCGGGACCACCCAUACGUAGAAUGUAUGCACACAUGACUGUAAGUCGCUUUGGAUAAAAGCGUCUGCUAAAUGGCAUAUAUUAUUAUUAUUAUUAUUAUAUUAUAAACAUUUAAAAAAUAGUGUGAGUUCUAACUGUUGUCUAACUGUACUUAACUGUCAACACAGGCCAGCCCUGAUGAUACUAGUCAGGUAGCCACAGUACAGGCCGGCCCUGUUGAUACUACUCAGGUAGCCACAGUACAGGCCAGCCCUGUUGAUACUACUCAGGUAGCCACAGGCCAGCCCUGAUGAUACUAGUCAGGUAGCCACAGUACAGGCCGGCCCUGUUGAUACUACUCAGGUAGCCAAAGUACAGGCCAGCCCUGUUGAUACUACUCAGGUAGCCACAGUACAGGCCAGCCCUGUUGAUACUACUCAGGUAGCCACAGUACAGGCCAGCCCUGUUGAUACUAGUCAGGUAGCCACAGUACAGGCCGGCCCUGUUGAUACUACUCAGGUAGCCACAGUACAGGCCAGCCCUGAUGAUACUACUCAGGUAGCCACAGUACAGGCCAGCCCUGAUGAUACUACUCAGGUAGCCACAGUACAGGCCAGCCCUGUUGAUACUACUCAGGUAGCCACAGUACAGGCCAGCCCUGUUGAUACUACUCAGGUAGCCACAGUACAGGCCAGCCCUGUUGAUACUACUCAGGUAGCCACAGUACAGGCCAGCCCUGUUGAUACUACUCAGGUAGCCACAGUACAGGCCAGCCCUGUUGAUACUACUCAGGUAGCCACAGUACAGGCCAGCCCUGUUGAUACUACUCAGGUAGCCACAGUACAGGCCAGCCCUGUUGAUACUACUCAGGUAGCCACAGUACAGGCCAGCCCUGUUGAUAAUACUCAGGUAGCCACAGUACAGGCCAGCCCUGUUGAUAACACUCAGGAAGCCACAGUACAGGCCAGCCCUGUUGAUACUACUCAGGUAGCCACAGUACAGGCCAGCCCUGUUGAUACUACUCAGGUAGCCACAGUACAGGCCAGCCCUGUUGAUACUACUCAGGUAGCCACAGUACAGGCCAGCCCUGUUGAUAAUACUCAGGUAGCCACAGUACAGGCCAGCCCUGUUGAUAAUACUCAGGUAGCCACAGUACAGGCCAGCCCUGUUGAUAAUACUCAGGUAAGCGUAGCCUAGUGUUUAGAGCGUUGGACUAGUAACCGGAAGGUUGCAAGUUCAAACCCCCGAGCUGACAAGGUACAAAUCUGUCGUUCUGCCCCUGAACAGGCAGUUAACCCACUGUUCCCAGGCCGUCAUUGAAAAUAAGAAUGUGUUCUUAACUGACUUGCCUGGUUAAAUAAAGGUAAAAUAAAAAUAAAUAAAAAACCACAGUACAGGCCAGCCCUGUUGAUACUACUCAGGUAGCCACAGUACAACAGACAGAGUUGAA